This 640-nucleotide ribosomal RNA is filed under the name Bacillus amyloliquefaciens. RNAcentral's name for it is "bacterial SSU rRNA". It matches the Rfam family "Bacterial small subunit ribosomal RNA", at positions 39 to 660 of the family's 1533-position model. Lineage: Bacteria; Bacillati; Bacillota; Bacilli; Caryophanales; Bacillaceae. The record is from RNAcentral.
CCGGGCUACAGCUAGUACAUGCAGUCGAGCGGACAGAUGGGAGCUUGCUCCCUGAUGUUAGCGGCGGACGGGUGAGUAACACGUGGGUAACCUGCCUGUAAGACUGGGAUAACUCCGGGAAACCGGGGCUAAUACCGGAUGCUUGUUUGAACCGCAUGGUUCAGACAUAAAAGGUGGCUUCGGCUACCACUUACAGAUGGACCCGCGGCGCAUUAGCUAGUUGGUGAGGUAACGGCUCACCAAGGCAACGAUGCGUAGCCGACCUGAGAGGGUGAUCGGCCACACUGGGACUGAGACACGGCCCAGACUCCUACGGGAGGCAGCAGUAGGGAAUCUUCCGCAAUGGACGAAAGUCUGACGGAGCAACGCCGCGUGAGUGAUGAAGGUUUUCGGAUCGUAAAGCUCUGUUGUUAGGGAAGAACAAGUGCCGUUCAAAUAGGGCGGCACCUUGACGGUACCUAACCAGAAAGCCACGGCUAACUACGUGCCAGCAGCCGCGGUAAUACGUAGGUGGCAAGCGUUGUCCGGAAUUAUUGGGCGUAAAGGGCUCGCAGGCGGUUUCUUAAGUCUGAUGUGAAAGCCCCCGGCUCAACCGGGGAGGGUCAUUGGAAACUGGGGAACUUGAGUGCAUAAGAGGAGA